ACAGUUACAUCUUACACCCGCCUA
This 24-nucleotide non-coding RNA is filed under the name Arabidopsis thaliana (thale cress). Lineage: Eukaryota; Viridiplantae; Streptophyta; Magnoliopsida; Brassicales; Brassicaceae. The record is from RNAcentral.